Long non-coding RNA from Diorhabda carinulata, 247 nucleotides. RefSeq lists it as uncharacterized. The record is from RefSeq and is a predicted model, not a curated record. The transcript has 3 exons. Lineage: Eukaryota; Metazoa; Arthropoda; Insecta; Coleoptera; Chrysomelidae.
UCUUAUAUCCGGUUGAUUGUAAUUUAAGAAAGUAACACAAUUUAAGGUAACGAGACAGUGGCACGACGGGGGACUUAUGGUUUAAAAUAUGUAGGGAAUUAAUGGAAUUUACUUUGAUUUAUUUAUAUUACAGCUUUAACAAAGUGAAAAAAGAUCAACAAAUAAAACAACUUAUUCUUUUAUUAUUAUAAAAAUGAAAACUUAAUAUCAUAAUGUCAACACAGUGAAAAAUAAAAUAUAAUUCAGU